UCUCCCGCUUCUCCUCCCUGAGCGGGUGCCUUAGACCUUAAGGCAUUUUGUCCCCGGGCUUUAUCCCCCUUUAGCCCGGGGCUUUUUUAU
Non-coding RNA from Betaproteobacteria bacterium RBG_16_64_9, 90 nucleotides. The record is from Rfam. NCBI's taxonomy places the organism in Bacteria, Pseudomonadati, Pseudomonadota, Betaproteobacteria.